CGUGCAGGCGGUUUGGUAAGUUGGGCGUGAAAGCUCCCGGCUCAACUGGGAGAGGUCGUCCAAAACUACCAGACUAGAGGGCGAUAGAGGAAAAUGGAAUUCCCGGUGUAGUGAUGAAAUGCGCAGAUAUCGGGAGGAACACCAGUGGCGAAGGCGAUUUUCUGGAUCGUUUCUGACGCUCAGACGCGAAAGCUAGGGUAGCAAACG
This 207-nucleotide ribosomal RNA is filed under the name uncultured bacterium. RNAcentral describes it as "partial 16S ribosomal RNA". It matches the Rfam family "Bacterial small subunit ribosomal RNA", at positions 568 to 774 of the family's 1533-position model. The record is from RNAcentral.